UACGUAGGGGGCUAGCGUUGUCCGGAAUCAUUGGGCGUAAAGAGCGUGUAGGCGGUCCGGUAAGUCCGCUGUGAAAGUCGGGGGCUCAACCCUCGAAUGCCGGUGGAUACUGUCGGGCUAGAGUGCGGAAGAGGCGAGUGGAAUUCCUGGUGUAGCGGUGAAAUGCGCAGAUAUCAGGAGGAACACCGGUGGUGCAGACGGCUCUCUGGACCGUAACUGACGCUGAGACACGAAAGCGUGGGUAGCAAACAGG
Molecule: ribosomal RNA, 253 nt
Filed under: uncultured bacterium
Lineage: Bacteria
Description: partial 16S ribosomal RNA
Rfam family: Bacterial small subunit ribosomal RNA
Source: RNAcentral